RNAcentral lists this ribosomal RNA (140 nucleotides) under Penicillium roqueforti. Its description in RNAcentral is "partial 28S ribosomal RNA". It matches the Rfam family "Eukaryotic large subunit ribosomal RNA", at positions 1 to 137 of the family's 3401-position model. The record is from RNAcentral. Lineage: Eukaryota; Fungi; Ascomycota; Eurotiomycetes; Eurotiales; Aspergillaceae.
GGUUGACCUCGGAUCAGGUAGGGAUACCCGCUGAACUUAAGCAUAUNCAUAAGCGGAGGAAAAGAAACCAACAGGGAUUGCCCCAGUAACGGCGAGUGAAGCGGCAAGAGCUCAAAUUUGAAAGCUGGCUCCUUCGGGGU